GUGCGACCUGGAAGGUCAUGGUUUUGUGGUGGUUAAAUUCCAUCUUCCCAGACAUCAGGGAUAAUGUAUAUCUCACAUUUCAAAGAGUGGCAACCUCUGGGAUGCAAGCAUGAGAUAAAAGCAGGUAACACUAAAUCUCGUGGUGAAUCCCUGCAAACAGAGUUAGAUAUGAUUACGAGAGAAACCUAUGUUUGAAUUGUCGUCAAAGCAUAAUAUGCGAAAAGAGAUUGAAUACGCAUAGACCAAAAUGGUACGAAGCAAAAAGGGAACUAAAGAUUGAAGACUUUAGUUAUUGAUGUUCCAAGCUUCCGGCAAAUAGUAGGAAUCUAAGUUUAACGUGAAACGAAGCCAUGGAACAGAGUAACCACAUAGAAGCUCUUAUAUUCAUAAAAUAUAAGUAAGUAGCCAACCAUAAGCUGCUAUGUGGAAGGAUUGUUUAAGAAGCUAAUGCCCAAAGUAAUAUUUGGGAUAUGCAGACGUAAACACUUUAAUUUGGAAGGUAAAGUGGUGAAUAGUAGUGAAUAUGUUAUGGACCAGCAAAAAGUUAGGUAUGAAUGGAAUGGAAUUCCUUGGCGCAAGCUAAAGAAAUCUUCAUUUAAGCUACAAAAACGAAUUUACCAAGCUUCUAAAUGUAAUGAUAUCAAAAAGAUGCAUAAUCUUCAGAGAUUAUUACUCAAAUCAACAAGUGCAAAAACACUCGCUGUUAGGAAAGUAACACAGGACAAUAGGGGGAAGAAGACUGCAGGUAUUAAUGGAAAAGCUAACCUUAAUCAAAAAGAAAGAUUACAACUAUCAUAUUCUUUAGAUAUAAAAGGAAAAGCAAAGCCAUCAAGACGUGUCUGGAUCCCAAAACCUGGUAAGCCAUCGGAGCAUCGCCCGCUUGGUAUACCCACUAUAUCGUGUCGAGCAAAACAAACACUUGUAAAAAUGGCUUUAGAACCAGAAUGGGAGGCAAAACUUGAGCCAAACACUUAUGGUUUUAGACCUGGUAGAUCAUGUCAUGAUGCAAUUGAAGCCAUAUUUGAUGUGCUAAAACAGAAAACAGCAUAUGUAUUAGAUGCUGAUAUUGCUGGAUGCUUUGACAAUAUUAACCAUAAUAAACUGCUUGAAAAGCUCAAUACCACACCAACGUUAAAGAAAAUCAUAAGAGGAUGGUUAGGAGCGGGUAUUAUGGAAGAUGGAAAGCUUCAAUCCACAAAACGUGGUACAAUUCAAGGAGGGACGAUCUCACCGUUGCUAGCUUGUGUUGCAUUACACGGAUUAGAGCAACAUGUCAAAAAAGCUUUAACAAACGAACUCUUUCAGUGUAUGAAAAGAAAAUAUGGUAAGAUAUCGCAUAAAAACGCGCAAAAGUCUAUUAGUGUAAUUUUCUACUGUGAUGAUUUUGUCAUCAUACAUGAAAAUGAAGAGAUUAUUCUUAAAGCAAAAAUUUUAGUUGAAGAAUGGCUAGAAACCAUUGGACUAAAAUUAAAGCCCUCUAAAACAAGAGUUUCUCAUACAUUAAGAACCAUUGACGAAACAAAACCAGGAUUUGAUUUUCUUGGUUUUUCAAUAAGACAAUAUCCAAUAAAAGAAAGUAAGAAAGGUUACAAGUAAACCAAGUCGUAAUUCUAUAAAACAACAUACACUAGCUAUUAAACAUAAGCUCAGAGAAAUGCGUGGAGCACCACAAGAGCGGGUGAUAAAGGAUCUCAAUCCAAUAAACAGAGGAUGGAGUCAAUAUUACUCCUCAGUAGUUUCAUGUAAAAUCUUUAGCUCAUUGGAUAAUAUUAUGCAUAGAAAACUCUGGAAGUGGGCAGUUUUUAGGCACCCAAACAAAGGGAGAUGCUGGAUAAAAAGAAAAUACUUUAAGAAGUAUAAUAACGAAAACUGGCGCUUUAUGACAAGUAACGAGAUACGUCUUACUAUACACAGCGAUCAUGUUAUUAAACGACAUAUCAAAGUGCAAAAAACCAGAUCCCCAUAUGAUGGUGAUUGGGUAUAUUGGGGUAAACGUCUGAGAGAAAUACCAGAUAAGCCACUAGGAGUAAUAAAAUUAUUGAGGUUGCAACAAAGUAAAUGCGAUAAUUGUAGACUAUGGUUUAAAAGUGAUGAUACAAUAGAAAUACAUCACAAAGAUCGGAAUAGACAAAACAAUAUGAUCACAAACUUAUCUUUGUUACAUGGACAUUGUCACGAUGAAUUACAUAGGAGGUGUGCAUGAAAAGCACCAAAUUAGAGAGAAGCCGUAUGAGGCCUCACGUACGGUUUUGCAGUCGAGUGAGGAAGGGCGACCUUCUUCACUUAGACAAC
Molecule: non-coding RNA, 2292 nt
Filed under: Wolbachia endosymbiont of Armadillidium vulgare str. wVulC
Lineage: Bacteria; Pseudomonadati; Pseudomonadota; Alphaproteobacteria; Rickettsiales; Anaplasmataceae
Source: RNAcentral